CUCUCUCGCGAGAUCUCACUAAGGAGCGACGUGUGACUUGGGCAGCACUAUUAAGAACAAGCUCUCCUGUGUGUUGGUUUGUCUGCUUCUAAUUUCCCAGCUACGACAGCAGACACGUCAUCGCAAACAGUGUGACAAUACAUUGCCCUUCGCGUUAUGUUUGCAGGUUAUUUCGGUUGCACACACACACCGCAUUUGUGGGCCGAAUGAUGUGUACUUGAUUUCGACAUUUCCAUGGAGAAUUACUGACUGGCCACUACUCUCCGAUUAAAUGAACUGCUAAGAACAAAGUGUGAAGACCUCUCUUACGCCCUGGUAGAGGAAUGCCGCAGAAGAGGAGAAGCAGGAGCGGAGGAGGCAGAGGGAGCAUGAUAUACGCACGCCGAUUCGUCUCGGGUGACAUCAAAGACAAACCAUCGUAACCGACGGUUACAGUAAUUUAUACUGAUAUUCCACGUGUUUUUUUUAGAAAGAAUUGGUUGUAUUUUAUGCUAAUCCUUUAUUGUAAGUUCAGUCCCAUAUGUAUGAGCAUGUGGUCUCGCGUUUUAUGUGUACGACUGCGGCCCGUUGUCAGAACAACUAGCACUAGAACUAGAACAACUAGCUAUAAAACUAGAACAAGUAGCACUAGACCUUGUAGAACUAGAGCAACUAGCUCUAGAACUAGAGCAACUAGCUUUAAAACUAUAACAAAUAGCCCUAGAACUAGAACAACUAGCUCU
Molecule: long non-coding RNA, 722 nt
Organism: Priapulus caudatus
Lineage: Eukaryota; Metazoa; Priapulida; Priapulimorpha; Priapulimorphida; Priapulidae
Exons: 5
Source: RefSeq, a predicted model, not a curated record